Molecule: non-coding RNA, 30 nt
Filed under: Homo sapiens (human)
Lineage: Eukaryota; Metazoa; Chordata; Mammalia; Primates; Hominidae
Source: RNAcentral
GCAUUCAGUAAAUAUGUGUUGGGUGAAGGG